UUACUUUGCAGCCGCAUUGGUUCGCGAGAAGGUUCACAACCCGACGCGAUUAAAAGGGAAUCAGGUGAGAGACCUGAACAGACCCGCUACUGUAAGUUCCGUAUUAACCGAUCGGACACGUUAUGAGUGUCACUGACCGCCCUGCGGUCGGGAAGGCAGUCCGAAAGGGGAAUAAGUCAGGAGACCUGCCAUGCGAUUUAAUUUCAA
RNAcentral lists this non-coding RNA (207 nucleotides) under Prevotella sp. The record is from RNAcentral. Lineage: Bacteria; Pseudomonadati; Bacteroidota; Bacteroidia; Bacteroidales; Prevotellaceae.